This 465-nucleotide ribosomal RNA is filed under the name Vreelandella stevensii. RNAcentral describes it as "partial 16S ribosomal RNA". It matches the Rfam family "Bacterial small subunit ribosomal RNA", at positions 338 to 795 of the family's 1533-position model. The record is from RNAcentral. Lineage: Bacteria; Pseudomonadati; Pseudomonadota; Gammaproteobacteria; Oceanospirillales; Halomonadaceae.
CCUACGUGUGGCAGCAGUGGGGAAUAUUGGACAAUGGGCGAAAGCCUGAUCCAGCCAUGCCGCGUGUGUGAAGACGGCCUUCGGGUUGUAAAGCACUUUCAGUGGGGAAGAAAGCCUUGGGGCUAAUACCCUCGAGGAAGGACAUCACCCACAGAAGAAGCACCGGCUAACUCCGUGCCAGCAGCCGCGGUAAUACGGAGGGUGCGUGCGUUAAUCGGAAUUACUGGGCGUAAAGCGCGCGUAGGCGGUCUGAUAAGCCGGUUGUGAAAGCCCCGGGCUCAACCUGGGAACGGCAUCCGGAACUGUCAGGCUAGAGUGCAGGAGAGGAAGGUAGAAUUCCCGGUGUAGCGGUGAAAUGCGUAGAGAUCGGGAGGAAUCCCAGUGGCGAAGGCGGCCUUCUGGACUGACACUGACGCUGAGGUGCGAAAGCGUGGGUAGCAAACAGGAUUAGAUACCCCGGUAGUC